GGUGGCUUGGUGGUAGAGUGCUUGCCUUGCAUGCAUGAGGCCCUGGGUUCGAUUCCUCAGCACCA
This is a non-coding RNA of Dipodomys ordii (Ord's kangaroo rat), 65 nucleotides long. Lineage: Eukaryota; Metazoa; Chordata; Mammalia; Rodentia; Heteromyidae. The record is from Rfam.